CUGUAGGGGGCAUGAAUCGACUUUGUAAGUGUUGAAAGGUGCCUGCCGAUCAGCUGCCUGGGCAGCUGACCGCAAGAUUGACAAUUAUCGAAAUCAGCCGAGGUCAGGGUUGCUCCAAUUUGACAACCUAGAGGGCGUAACCUCCCCAUGCAAGAGUGCAUGCAAAUGUCAAGUGGCCAGAGCAGGUUUCCGGCUUCGAUCUUUUCCUGUGCGAUAAUCAAGCCGACGAGUCGUGUUUUUUUUCAAUCAGUGAAAAGUUUGCCAUCUGCGCCUAAUUCCACUAAAUAAAGUCGAAAGUGUGUACAGUGCCGGAAGGUUUAUAAGUGUAGCCGUUUUCUGCGGGAGCAACCUCUUCUGUGGGCGUUCUAACCCAGAGAACCGCCAGAGGCUGGAUUAAUCUGUGUACAUCCACGGAUACCGCUGCCACUGCGCAAAAGAUUUCCUGCGGAAAUUGUGGACCAGCUCCUCGGGAAGACGCCGCCUUACGCGCCCCAGCCUAGCGCGACCCGUGCUAAGGCGCCGUAAGGCACCCCACGUUUGCGGCACCAAAGAGUGACCAGCAAAGUGGAGUACUUCGACCCGCCUGGAAAUCGCAGGCGUCAGCAUACUGGUUCAUCGUUUUCCCGGAUCCGCCGAGAGGCUCCGUAGAUUCCACGUGCCGCAUCAACAAGCGAUCCGUAACCGAGACCGCGUCCACUGCUCGUGGGCUGAUAUUCUCGUUCCGUCGGCCGCUCCCCGUCCCCAACCGGCGCCCAUGUCGCCCGGCGAGGAGUUUGUGCUGGCAAAACCAGGCGCAUUCGAGCCCUGCAACGUUUAAUGUUCUAAAGACUUUCAAAGAAAAUACAAUCUACCGUUCCCGCUUCAACAGACUCCUGUAUUAAUAGAGUUUCGUCGAUGUAGAAUCCAGAUCUCGGUCCGUGUUUCAAAAAUGGCGCAGUAAAGCCGGUGUUAAAGAAAGUUACGGCCCGAGAGCAGCCCAGCAGAAUUAAAAUUAAUAAAUACGCUCUUCGGACACCUGAUUCCAGUUCCGCCUAUCCUCUCCUUGGCAGGCAGUCCGAUGCGAUUCGCCAAACCCAGUUAGAAAAGUAAUUGAGCUGCAGGCCAUCCCGUCGAAUCCGCCAGAGACUCGAACCAAUGAACAAGACUCUAGAAUCGCUCCUUUGAACAAACAAAUGAAGUUCCUAAGAUUUAGCUUUAAAUAUUAGUUAGGCCAUUCCGUCGAAUCCGACAGAGACUCGAACCCAUGAAUAAGACUCUAGAAUCGUUCCUUUGAACAAACAAAUGAAGUUCCUAAGAUUUAGCUUUAAAUAUUAGUUGCACCCGUUCGAAUUAAGAAUUUAUAUGAAAUAUUGGAAAGAAUUAGAGGAAAUUGUAAGAAAUCUAAAAAGCACCCGAAACAAAACAGAAAUUUAUUGGAUUUAGAACUAACCCCGCCUGAGGGAAAUCAAAGGUCUCGAAAGCACUAAUGUAAACGAAAGAAAAAGGAUAACGUUCUAUUUCAGCAGUCGCCGGAAGAUCGAUCUUUCGCCGAUGGAGAAACCUAACUGCGUGAGUAAAAUCCUGCGACUUUCGUUUGGUUCUAGUGGGCGCGCCCAAUCCUAAGCUCUCGAAAAGAAAA
Long non-coding RNA from Drosophila pseudoobscura, 1618 nucleotides. RefSeq lists it as uncharacterized. The record is from RefSeq and is a predicted model, not a curated record. The transcript is spliced from 2 exons. Lineage: Eukaryota; Metazoa; Arthropoda; Insecta; Diptera; Drosophilidae.